Molecule: long non-coding RNA, 1508 nt
Organism: Hordeum vulgare subsp. vulgare (domesticated barley)
Lineage: Eukaryota; Viridiplantae; Streptophyta; Magnoliopsida; Poales; Poaceae
Exons: 3
Source: RefSeq, a predicted model, not a curated record
GGUCCGCAGCGCCGGCCGCCAUCGAUCCAUUGCUCGAUCGUGCCCUUGUUAUGCGCUAGAUCGAUGCAACCAACCACCCCGGCUCUCUGGCGCGCGACGGGAUCGAGUAGGAAACCCUAGCCAGCCAGCCAGCAAGCUGCGGAAUGUUCCGGCGCUGCACGUUCUCCGCUCGUCGCUGCCAAACCGCGGGCCCAACACGUGCGUGCCCGGCUACCUCCCCCCAACCCCCCAGCCUAUAUAUCCGGCCUCCCAACAUCCGACUCUCCCCACCCCUCCCAUCUCCCCCAUCGAUCUCGCAAGGAACGCCAGCGUCCGUGCCGCGUGCGGUGGCCGCGGCGGCGGUGUGCGUUGAAGGCGCGCUGCGCGGCUGCUUAGCUCGGCAAGGACCGGUUCGGGCGCCGGGCGGUGACAGAAGAGAGUGAGCACACGGCCGGCCGUUACGGCACCGCCCGGGUGUGCCGUCGCGGCCGCGUGCUCACUGCUCUUCCUGUCAUCCACUCUCCCGCUUCCCUUCCGCCUUCGCCGUGGCUGGCUGCGCGCGCCAGCACACCGCCGCCGUGUCCACAGCACAGGCCGGCCGUCGUUUUUGCGUCAUCGUAUGCCGUACAACUACCCCGCAAUUCUGUGUUCAUGCCGCUCUCUGCAAGUUUCCAUUUCUGGGAGGCUAGAGCGUACGGCGCCGCGCGCGUGGGUACGCUUUCCCGCACGGAUUCCCUCCCUUUUUCCCUCGGUACGAAGAUGCUCCCUUUUGCUUUGAUAAAUUCUCUCAUCUUUUCCAAGGGAUUUUACCGUUACCCGCUGCUGCUCACUCCGGCCUUGGGAAGGUAAAAAGGCAUUUACUGCGGCGCCGCUGAUUGAUUCAGCUUUGGCUGGUUCCAAGAAUCUGGAUCUUGGAGAAACCAGAUCAACCUACUGAGAAUAGGCCGGCGAUGGAAGAUGUAGAGGCAAAUGCGCGCAUGGAUCGAUAACUCAGAUCUGCUUACCACUUGACUCUUUGCUUGCCAGAUCCUGAAGUAAUGCACCCAUUUCGAGUGGAUGGAUGAAUAUGUUGAGAUUAUUCAGUUCGAGGGCUACAUUGAUUCGAGCGGGGCUGCAACCUAGGAGCUUAAUUUCGGUGGGGUACCGCAGAUGGAGAAUUUGGGAGCUCGGACAGAGGGACAGGCAGAGUCGUGCCAAUGGCGAGGCAUGCGCGCAAUGCUGAACUGCACUUGGAGUCUGAACUGAUCGGGGAACUAAAGAAGAUCAAGAAAAAUCUAAUGGAGAUGAUCGAUUUGCAGAAGCAAGCAAAUUUCAUGGAAGGAGGGUUUUAUUGUUGUAUCAAUGCUCUGUUUUUGUUUUACUUGUUGUUCAUCCAUCAUUAGAGGGGGCAUUUAGGUCUGUCAGGGCAUAGGGUGCGAUUUGUGUGUCAUGCCAAGUUCAUGUAAUUGAAUCGAAGCAAGCCCGUGUGCGACAUUUUUCAUGUUAUUCGCAGGGAAUAUUCAAUGUUCAUGCUCUGGUCUUCUUCUUGA